Herpailurus yagouaroundi (jaguarundi) is the source of this 829-nucleotide long non-coding RNA. RefSeq lists it as uncharacterized. The transcript has 4 exons. The record is from RefSeq and is a predicted model, not a curated record. NCBI's taxonomy places the organism in Eukaryota, Metazoa, Chordata, Mammalia, Carnivora, Felidae.
CCCGGCGCGGCCUUCCAGGGCUUUCUCUGCCGCUCCGAGGACGCCGCGGCGACCCCCGCCGCCCAGACGUGCGCCGGGCGCUGCGUUUUCGCUCGCCGCCCUCCCAGACGGUGCCCGUUCUGACGUACUCGUAAUCCAGUCAGAAAAGAAGCCAUUCACGAGCCCACAUAGUUUCCUCAGUGAGACAAAGAAAUAUUUAUGAUAUGCUGAAACAGCUGAAGAAGUGUUCAGUUCAAAGCUUCAGAGGGAGGAAACAGAAACAGGAGAAACAGGAGACAAGAGAGCUCUUGGCUACAGGACUGCAAACGACACCCUAAAACGUGGAGCUGCAAACCUUGGUGAUUUAAAUGCAGGCUGCCAGGCAAAUUACAGUGACAUAAAUUUGGCCCAUGUGUUUUGCAUCGUGUGAAUAUGAAACAGGGGAAGCCAUGGAGCCGAGUUUUGUUGGCAUUGGACUCAGGAGGUUUGGUGGGCUCUUUUCAGACAUGCUGCCCACAGCAAGGUCACAUCUCAAAUAUGAACGUCACCCAGAGGUUACCCAGGUGAUCCUAGGCCAUCCUGAGCAUGCAGCUGUGCAGGGCUUGACCUUGAAGGACAGAUGGCAUCAGGGGGAAUUCUUUUAUACCUUGUAUUGGCCAGGGCUCAGCUUCUGACAUUUCUGUCUACAGACGACAAAAGGCUUUCAUUGUAAGCUGCUUUCUGAUGCGUGCUUAAAACCAAGUUGAACACAUUAAAAGGGAGAAGAAGCAGAAACUUGCUCACUGUGCUCUGUGAAGAAUUAAAAAAAUUUUAUGGAAGUCGAUGAAAGGGAAAUAGAUUUUUGAAAUCU